CGUGCUCGAUUUGGGCCUCAAUAUAUAAUAAAAUUGUUAUAGUACAUUGAUCAUGAACGAAUAGUACUAUAAAUGGGGAAUACCCUCUAACUCAAUUGUUCAAGAGUCUUAUCAUUUAGACUUAAAGUACUAUGAAUGAGAAAUACAUAUCAACUCAAAUCUUAAGUUUGAGUAUUAUUGUCGCAUAAACUUUGAGUCUAUCAUAUUCUAUUGAGACUUAUAGUCUCAAAAUGUGAUCUAGGCUUCAAGCCAUAAAUUGAUUAUGAUCAAUUAUCAAUUUUCUCAUUUCAAUAUUUUGUGGACUUGAAAAAUGUCCACAAAUGACAAAUCUGUCAUGUCUGAGUAAUUUACUUGUAUCUCUCUCAUUCGAGAUCCAAUUUCAACGCUUCAACAUGCUGUGAACAGCCAACAGAAAGUUCUACAACUUUCGUAUUUUACAUUUUAUCAAAUUCGGACAAUAUCAGGUCCGAAACGGGACUCAAAGUCUUGAAAAAUGACCACAAAUGACAGAUCUGGCAUGUCUGAGUAUUUUUUAGCAUAUCUCUCUUGAUCGAGAUCCGAUUUCGAUGAUUCAAAAUGUUCUGAAAAGCCAACAGAAAAUGCUACAAGUUUCGUAUUUUGCAUUUUCUGAAAUUC
This 636-nucleotide long non-coding RNA is filed under the name Erythranthe guttata (spotted monkey flower). RNAcentral describes it as "long non-coding RNA (EGUT_LNC001782)". Lineage: Eukaryota; Viridiplantae; Streptophyta; Magnoliopsida; Lamiales; Phrymaceae. The record is from RNAcentral.